This 319-nucleotide long non-coding RNA is filed under the name Triticum aestivum (bread wheat). RNAcentral describes it as "long non-coding RNA (TAES_LNC022770)". The record is from RNAcentral. Lineage: Eukaryota; Viridiplantae; Streptophyta; Magnoliopsida; Poales; Poaceae.
GAACCUUCCAUAGUUAUGGGAGAUACCGGACAAGUACAAACAUCAGUGCACACGCCGUUUGUUCGUCGGUUCAUCGAUCUGGCCUCAUGGCAGAUGAAUCCCAGGGCCGACAAGACCGAUAAAUAAACCCUGGCUAAUACGGAAAACACCGUUCGGCUCGUGCAGAUUAUUCUGAUGUACACAAGGUAGACUGCUUUUGUUUUUGUUUUCGCGGUCACAAGAAAACACACUUCACAACCAGGGUGAUGCUUCCUAAGGGACAACAGAAAAAGGAGUGGGGAACAACACUUGCCACCGAUCGUUACAGGUUUCGACGCCG